This 578-nucleotide ribosomal RNA is filed under the name uncultured bacterium. RNAcentral describes it as "partial 16S ribosomal RNA". It matches the Rfam family "Bacterial small subunit ribosomal RNA", at positions 355 to 1376 of the family's 1533-position model. The record is from RNAcentral.
UGAGGAAUAUUGGUCAAUGGUCGCAAGACUGAACCAGCCAUGCCGCGUGCAGGAAGACGGUCCUAUGGAUUGUAAACUGCUUUUAUACAGGAAGAAACCCUCCCACGUGUGGGGGCUUGACGGUACUGUAGGAAUAAGGAUCGGCUAACUCCGUGCCAGCAGCCGCGGUAAUACGGAGGAUCCAAGCGUUAUCCGGAAUCAUUGGGUUUAAAGGGUCCGUAGGCGGUCUUAUAAGUCAGUGGUGAAAGCCCAUCGCUCAACGAUGAAACUGCCAUUGAUACUGUAAGACUUGAAUGCUUAGGAAGUAACUAGAAUAUGUAGUGUAGCGGUGAAAUGCUUAGAUAUUACAUGGAAUACCAAUUGCGAAGGCAGGUUACUACUAAGUGAUUGACGCUGAUGGACGAAAGCGUGGGGAGCGAACAGGAUUAGAUACCCUGGAUAGUCCACGCCGUAAACGAUGGAUACUAGCUGUUCGGCGCAAGUUGAGUGGCUAAGCGAAAGUGAUAAGUAUCCCACCUGGGGAGUACGCACGCAAGUGUGAAACUCAAAUGAAUUGACGGGGUCAUAGCUGUUUCCUG